UCGCCGCUCAUUUCCUGGCCGGGGCGAUGGCAGGCGGCCGGGCAGCGCUUUCCCUUCCUCAGCCAAUUGCAUCUUCGAUCCGCAUCGGAGGAUCGCGGGGUGUGAGGCCAGGGAGAGCCCGGGGGCCGGCGCGGCGGGGGCUGCCACCAGACGGGGAGGAAGAGGAGGGAGAGGAGGGAGGAAGAGCCCCCGGGCGGGCAGCCCCCGGGGUCGGGCCGCGCUGGCCGGCCCAGUCGCUUAAAUGCAACCCCUGGGGCAUCGGCUGCUCUCCGAUGAGACCGCUCCGGGGCUGCCGGGGACGGGGCGUCGUCGUGGGGACCGUCACCCUCUGCCUGGCCGCCGGGUGGGCUCUGCAGACACCCGGAGGAGUAUCGUUGGUUGUCCCACAACCCAACAUCAACGCAACAGUGGCACAAAACAUCUUGCUCUCCGUUGAAUACUCUUGCAGAGGCGCCGCCACCAUUGAGUGGAAGCACGUGUCAAGCUGGGGCACCACCAAAAUCGCUGAGUGGAAAAGCGGGAAUUAUGUCAACAUAUCCACGGUGUACAAGGGCAGAGUGACUACUUUUGAAAAUGGCUCUAUACAGCUUCUGAACGUGGGCAUGAGAGACGCCGGCUACUAUUUUAUCACUGUAACAGAGGAGUAUGGAACCAACACCUACGGCACCAUCAUAGUCAACGUUUACGAGAUUAUCUAUGAAGAUUUACAUUUUGUAGCAGUCGUCUUUGCAUUUCUGGCUGCAGUAUCUGCCAUUCUGAUCUGCUUCAUGUGGCUCUGUAACAAAUCUCUGCAUCUGUGUCAGAAGAAGGCGCCACACAAACUAACAGCGAGUACAACUGAAGAGAUUGAACUGGAAACCAUUGAGUGUUAGCCAAGGACUGUCUCAUAACAAAAAUAACAAUUCUACCUCAGGAGAAAAUAUUGGCAAGGGAAGCAAGAAGAAACCUAAAAGGUAAAACGUUUGUGACUACUGUAGAAACAUCCUGACUUGCAAAUUAAUCAGACAUGAAAUCAGCGGUGUCUGAUGGAGCUGUGUUGACCUGUUAAGAUUUCGGCUCUGCUAGCUAAGGUCAAAGUCAAAAAGAGUAUGCUUUCAUGCUGAGCACAAAUACAUUUUUGUGGCUAAUUAAUAAAAUCUACGGCCUCUACCACUCUUAACCAACCAACCAAGCCUCUGAGAUCAACCCAUAAAGGAAAUAGUCGUGGUCUUGAAGGAUACCUGUAUUUUGGCUACAGCACGUCUCCUAUUACAGACAGAGCAGCCAUUAGCAUCCUUCAACAUAAUAAAUUUAAUGUCUAAUUACAGUAUUACAUUAAAAAAAUUAAUUGCAAGUGUUGAAUCCUGUUUAUUGCGCCUAUGCUGCUACUUUUGGGCGUAAGGAAUUUCCUGAAGCUCUGAAGACAAACUGUAAUUCUUCACGAGACAAAACUGACUUUGAAACAACGCCGAGCUGGUCAAAGUUCCCCCCUUGACAUUUCCAGUUGUUUACACUGCCCGGGGAUAUUCACACACAUUUUAUGACAUUACGAGAGAAGGUUAUUAAAACAAGGAACUAUGCACGGGCACCGAAGAGGACGCUGUCUGUAACAAUUAGAGUGGUCAGAUAAAAUACUGACACAGUGGGGUGGCGGAAAUACUGAAGAGUUUCAUUGUGAAAGAUGUCGUGUCCUUUGCAAAGUUAGGCUAUUCAUCAGCAGGCUAUCUGGGAAGAAAAGUUAAAACAGCAGUACUUUGAAAUUCAGCAUUUACAAACACAGUUCUGAACCUGCUCUUGUCGAGAAGCCCCCGUUGCUCUCCUGUGUCGUAAGGAGACACGAAGCGAUCUAACUAGGGUUUUCUUGAAUCUGCGUAUUGCACUUAGAUUUUCCACCUGCUGGUGGAAUAACAUUUCCUUGUGGGAGUGCGAAAGCACUACACCGACUGACCUUCAAGUUGUCCCGUUUUGCUUUUGUAAAGAGAAGAAUUUUGCAGCGCGAAAUAAACUUUGAAAACAUAAGAGACCACGGACUCGUCUGCGUCUGCAGAUUGCCACGGGGCUUUUUAACUGAACUUCUUCUACCGCCUCUCUCGCGCUUUAGCUCACUUGUUUGCAAAAAGCUUUUACAAAACAGGCUGCCAGAGCCUCCCCUCUGGCCAGGGACUACGACGCUCAGGAGGGUUUUUUUUGCAGCUAGGCCUGAAAGUCUUGCCAAACGCCUUCACUGCUGACGUGCGGUGCUUGCACUUCUGCAACACAGAAGUCCUCUUGCAUCCGUUGUUUCUUUUCAGAAGGGGAAAAAAUCCUGCAACUACGAGACCCCAGUACCUCCACAGAGAUCCUAUUACUUGGUAACGAAGGGCUUAUUUGUCGAAAAGGCCAUCACUGCAUGCAGACCUGUCAAUUUAGGUUAAGAACAGUGAAGUAGAACAGCUGCUUUGGAUACGCAUGGAGCAGCAGCUUCCCAAGAAGUUGCUUAAUAUAUAUUUCCUACGACUAUUCUUUAUUGCUCAAGAAUGCAGCAAAAUAACAACUGUCACCAUACAAGUAUGAUGUUCAAUUCAAACCUGUUCUAUGUGCAAGAAGUUCUCAUAUAUAUAUAUAUAUACACACACACACA
Molecule: RNA transcript, 2599 nt
Organism: Chroicocephalus ridibundus (black-headed gull)
Lineage: Eukaryota; Metazoa; Chordata; Aves; Charadriiformes; Laridae
Gene: VSTM5
Gene name: V-set and transmembrane domain containing 5
Exons: 5
Source: RefSeq, a predicted model, not a curated record